GAUGAAGAACGCAGCGAAAUGCGAUAACUAAUGUGAAUUGCAGAAUUCAGUGAAUCAUCGAAUCUUUGAACGCACAUUGCGCCCCCUGGUAUUCCGGGGGGCAUGCCUGUUCGAGCGUCAUUACAACCCUCAAGCUCUGCUUGGUAUUGGGCCCCGCCAGUUCUGGCGGGCCCUAAAGUCAGUGGCGGUGCCUUCCGGCUCCGAGCGUAGUAAUUCUUCUCGCUCUGGAGACCCGGUUGUGUGCUUGCCAACAACCCCGAAUUUUUUAAGGUUGACCUCGGAUCAGGUAGGGAUACCCGCUGAACUUAAGCAUAUCAAUAAGCGGAGGA
Molecule: unclassified non-coding RNA, 329 nt
Filed under: soil metagenome
Description: partial contains 5.8S ribosomal RNA, internal transcribed spacer 2, and large subunit ribosomal RNA
Rfam family: 5.8S ribosomal RNA (bases 1-120)
Source: RNAcentral